GGCCAGACUCCUACGGGAGGCAGCAGUGGGGAAUAUUGCACAAUGGGGGAAACCCUGAUGCAGCGACGCCGCGUGAGUGAAGAAGUAUUUCGGUAUGUAAAGCUCUAUCAGCAGGAACGAGACAAGACGGUACCUGACUAAGAAGCCCCGACUAACUACGUGCCAGCAGCCGCGGUAAUACGUAGGGGGCAAGCGUUAUCCGGAAUCACUGGGUGUAAAGGGAGCGUAGACGGCUGUGCAAGCCUGAAGUGAAAUGCCGGGGCUUAACCCCGGAACUGCUUUGGAAACUGUGCAGCUAGAGUGCAGGAGAGGUAAGUGGAAUUCCUAGUGUAGCGGUGAAAUGCGUAGAUAUUAGGAGGAACACCAGUGGCGAAGGCGGCUUACUGGACUGUAACUGACGUUGAGGCUCGAAAGCGUGGGGAGCAAACAGGAUUAGAUGCCCUCGUAUU
Molecule: ribosomal RNA, 449 nt
Filed under: uncultured bacterium
Lineage: Bacteria
Description: bacterial SSU rRNA
Rfam family: Bacterial small subunit ribosomal RNA
Source: RNAcentral